GCGCCGCUAGCUCAAUUGGCAGAGCAGAUGACUCUUAAUCAUCGGGUUCGGGGUUCAAGUCCCUGGCGGCGCACCA
RNAcentral lists this transfer RNA (76 nucleotides) under Actinomycetes bacterium. RNAcentral describes it as "Actinobacteria bacterium tRNA-Lys". It matches the Rfam family "tRNA". Rfam says of the family: Transfer RNA (tRNA) molecules are approximately 80 nucleotides in length. Their secondary structure includes four short double-helical elements and three loops (D, anti-codon, and T loops). The record is from RNAcentral. Lineage: Bacteria; Bacillati; Actinomycetota; Actinomycetes.